This 443-nucleotide ribosomal RNA is filed under the name uncultured bacterium. Its description in RNAcentral is "partial 16S ribosomal RNA". It matches the Rfam family "Bacterial small subunit ribosomal RNA", at positions 338 to 795 of the family's 1533-position model. The record is from RNAcentral.
CCUACGGGAGGCAGCAGUGGGGAAUAUUGGGCAAUGGGCGCAAGCCUGACCCAGCAACGCCGCGUGAAGGAAGAAGGCCCUCGGGUUGUAAACUUCUUUUAUCAAGGACGAAACAAAUGACGGUACUUGAUGAAUAAGCCACGGCUAACUACGUGCCAGCAGCCGCGGUAAUACGUAGGUGGCAAGCGUUAUCCGGAUUUACUGGGUGUAAAGGGCGUGUAGGCGGGACUGCAAGUCAGAUGUGAAAACCAUGGGCUCAACCCAUGGCCUGCAUUUGAAACUGUAGUUCUUGAGUGUUGGAGAGGCAGGCGGAAUUCCGGGUGUAGCGGUGAAAUGCGUAGAUAUACGGAGGAACACCAGUGGCGAAGGCAGCUUACUAAACUGUGACUGACAUUGAUGCUCGAAAGUGUGGGUAUCAAACAGGAUUAGAUACCCCAGUAGUC